Molecule: ribosomal RNA, 180 nt
Organism: Lupinus angustifolius (narrow-leaved blue lupine)
Lineage: Eukaryota; Viridiplantae; Streptophyta; Magnoliopsida; Fabales; Fabaceae
Rfam family: Eukaryotic large subunit ribosomal RNA
Source: Rfam
GGCAAGGGGAAUAUGACUAUUUAAUUAAAACAAAGCAUUGCGAUGGUCCCUACAGAUGUUGACGAAAUGUGAUUUCUGCCUAGCGUGGGUAAACGGCGGUAGUAACUAUAACUCUCUUAAGGUUGCCAAAUUCCUCGUCAUCUAAUUAGUGAUGCACAUGAAUGGAUUAACGACAUUCUC